UGGGUGCGUAUACUCGUAUGCUCCCACAUAGGAAAAGAUGCAUUAUUGUAAUCGAGUUUUUUUAUAGAUUUCGAAAUUUUUUACUACAAUAUGCAUCGCUCCAUUUUAAGACACUUGCACUUAAACGCAAAAAUCUCAGAACACGCUUAGAAAAUCUACAAACGUUAAGACUCUUAUCGGCAGCCUCAUACGGCCCAAAAUCGCGAAACAAUCUCGCUUCAGGACCGAAAAUAUACGUAUAGUCUUAGAAAUAACUGCGAGACGUCGCCAAGUUAAAAGUCAAGACGAUACGAACAAAUUGUCCGAACGCGACCACAAAAAAUCUUACACUCCGUUCGUUGAUUGGCCCCGAAGAACACAUCAGCCGUCUUAAACAAACGCAACUUGAUUACUCUUUUGAUCUUUGAACGUCCAACACAAGGACGAAAGCGCGCUACAAAAAAAUCUGAAAUUUUGGUCUAGCACUUCCAGUUGGCUUAAAUUUGUCUCUGGAAAGAUGCUCGAUUCGUACCAUACAAGUCGUAUAAGCCGAGAACCUAUCGCGGACUUUAAAUCGGUACGAAUCAGGUAGAAAUUGCAACAGGAAAACCGAUAGCCGGCUAGUCACCGCAC
Molecule: long non-coding RNA, 612 nt
Filed under: Brassica napus (rape)
Lineage: Eukaryota; Viridiplantae; Streptophyta; Magnoliopsida; Brassicales; Brassicaceae
Description: long non-coding RNA (BNAP_LNC018091)
Source: RNAcentral